GGUUAAGCGACUAAGCGUACACGGUGGAUGCCCUGGCAGUCAGAGGCGAUGAAGGACGUGCUAAUCUGCGAUAAGCGUCGGUAAGGUGAUAUGAACCGUUAUAACCGGCGAUUUCCGAAUGGGGAAACCCAGUGUGUUUCGACACACUAUCAUUAACUGAAUCCAUAGGUUAAUGAGGCGAACCGGGGGAACUGAAACAUCUAAGUACCCCGAGGAAAAGAAAUCAACCGAGAUUCCCCCAGUAGCGGCGAGCGAACGGGGAGCAGCCCAGAGCCUGAAUCAGUGUGUGUGUUAGUGGAAGCGUCUGGAAAGGCGCGCGAUACAGGGUGACAGCCCCGUACACAAAAAUGCACAUGCUGUGAGCUCGAUGAGUAGGGCGGGACACGUGGUAUCCUGUCUGAAUAUGGGGGGACCAUCCUCCAAGGCUAAAUACUCCUGACUGACCGAUAGUGAACCAGUACCGUGAGGGAAAGGCGAAAAGAACCCCGGCGAGGGGAGUGAAAAAGAACCUGAAACCGUGUACGUACAAGCAGUGGGAGCACGCUUCGGCGUGUGACUGCGUACCUUUUGUAUAAUGGGUCAGCGACUUAUAUUCUGUAGCAAGGUUAACCGAAUAGGGGAGCCGAAGGGAAACCGAGUCUUAACUGGGCGUUAAGUUGCAGGGUAUAGACCCGAAACCCGGUGAUCUAGCCAUGGGCAGGUUGAAGGUUGGGUAACACUAACUGGAGGACCGAACCGACUAAUGUUGAAAAAUUAGCGGAUGACUUGUGGCUGGGGGUGAAAGGCCAAUCAAACCGGGAGAUAGCUGGUUCUCCCCGAAAGCUAUUUAGGUAGCGCCUCGUGAAUUCAUCUCCGGGGGUAGAGCACUGUUUCGGCAAGGGGGUCAUCCCGACUUACCAACCCGAUGCAAACUGCGAAUACCGGAGAAUGUUAUCACGGGAGACACACGGCGGGUGCUAACGUCCGUCGUGAAGAGGGAAACAACCCAGACCGCCAGCUAAGGUCCCAAAGUCAUGGUUAAGUGGGAAACGAUGUGGGAAGGCCCAGACAGCCAGGAUGUUGGCUUAGAAGCAGCCAUCAUUUAAAGAAAGCGUAAUAGCUCACUGGUCGAGUCGGCCUGCGCGGAAGAUGUAACGGGGCUAAACCAUGCACCGAAGCUGCGGCAGCGACGCUGAUGCGUUGUUGGGUAGGGGAGCGUUCUGUAAGCCUGUGAAGGUGUGCUGUGAGGCAUGCUGGAGGUAUCAGAAGUGCGAAUGCUGACAUAAGUAACGAUAAAGCGGGUGAAAAGCCCGCUCGCCGGAAGACCAAGGGUUCCUGUCCAACGUUAAUCGGGGCAGGGUGAGUCGACCCCUAAGGCGAGGCCGAAAGGCGUAGUCGAUGGGAAACAGGUUAAUAUUCCUGUACUUGGUGUUACUGCGAAGGGGGGACGGAGAAGGCUAUGUUGGCCGGGCGACGGUUGUCCCGGUUUAAGCGUGUAGGCUGGUUUUCCAGGCAAAUCCGGAAAAUCAAGGCUGAGGCGUGAUGACGAGGCACUACGGUGCUGAAGCAACAAAUGCCCUGCUUCCAGGAAAAGCCUCUAAGCAUCAGGUAACAUCAAAUCGUACCCCAAACCGACACAGGUGGUCAGGUAGAGAAUACCAAGGCGCUUGAGAGAACUCGGGUGAAGGAACUAGGCAAAAUGGUGCCGUAACUUCGGGAGAAGGCACGCUGAUAUGUAGGUGAAGUCCCUCGCGGAUGGAGCUGAAAUCAGUCGAAGAUACCAGCUGGCUGCAACUGUUUAUUAAAAACACAGCACUGUGCAAACACGAAAGUGGACGUAUACGGUGUGACGCCUGCCCGGUGCCGGAAGGUUAAUUGAUGGGGUUAGCGCAAGCGAAGCUCUUGAUCGAAGCCCCGGUAAACGGCGGCCGUAACUAUAACGGUCCUAAGGUAGCGAAAUUCCUUGUCGGGUAAGUUCCGACCUGCACGAAUGGCGUAAUGAUGGCCAGGCUGUCUCCACCCGAGACUCAGUGAAAUUGAACUCGCUGUGAAGAUGCAGUGUACCCGCGGCAAGACGGAAAGACCCCGUGAACCUUUACUAUAGCUUGACACUGAACAUUGAGCCUUGAUGUGUAGGAUAGGUGGGAGGCUUUGAAGUGUGGACGCCAGUCUGCAUGGAGCCGACCUUGAAAUACCACCCUUUAAUGUUUGAUGUUCUAACGUUGACCCGUAAUCCGGGUUGCGGACAGUGUCUGGUGGGUAGUUUGACUGGGGCGGUCUCCUCCUAAAGAGUAACGGAGGAGCACGAAGGUUGGCUAAUCCUGGUCGGACAUCAGGAGGUUAGUGCAAUGGCAUAAGCCAGCUUGACUGCGAGCGUGACGGCGCGAGCAGGUGCGAAAGCAGGUCAUAGUGAUCCGGUGGUUCUGAAUGGAAGGGCCAUCGCUCAACGGAUAAAAGGUACUCCGGGGAUAACAGGCUGAUACCGCCCAAGAGUUCAUAUCGACGGCGGUGUUUGGCACCUCGAUGUCGGCUCAUCACAUCCUGGGGCUGAAGUAGGUCCCAAGGGUAUGGCUGUUCGCCAUUUAAAGUGGUACGCGAGCUGGGUUUAGAACGUCGUGAGACAGUUCGGUCCCUAUCUGCCGUGGGCGCUGGAGAACUGAGGGGGGCUGCUCCUAGUACGAGAGGACCGGAGUGGACGCAUCACUGGUGUUCGGGUUGUCAUGCCAAUGGCACUGCCCGGUAGCUAAAUGCGGAAGAGAUAAGUGCUGAAAGCAUCUAAGCACGAAACUUGCCCCGAGAUGAGUUCUCCCUGACUCCUUGAGAGUCCUGAAGGAACGUUGAAGACGACGACGUUGAUAGGCCGGGUGUGUAAGCGCAGCGAUGCGUUGAGCUAACCGGUACUAAUGAACCGUGAGGCUUAACCUU
Molecule: ribosomal RNA, 2904 nt
Filed under: Escherichia coli
Lineage: Bacteria; Pseudomonadati; Pseudomonadota; Gammaproteobacteria; Enterobacterales; Enterobacteriaceae
Description: 23S ribosomal RNA
Rfam family: Bacterial large subunit ribosomal RNA
Source: RNAcentral